AAAAAAUGAAACACAAUCCACCACGACCGACUUAUUCAAGAAUAGCUGCAAAGACCAAUAAUCAUACAACCAACCGUGGACGAAUUCCAUUGAUGCUGAAAAUUCCAGAAUUUAUGCCACAAAAUAUGCAUUGCAGGCAUAUAUGAUACCAAAUGUUAUGACGUCAUAGAAAAUCCCCAUCAUGCAAAUUAUUUUUUUGAACGGGAGUUGACAACAUAUUACAAGCACUACAAGUAAACUAUACAUUUGAAGGGAAUAUAUGCGUCAACAGUUAAUCAGAUAAUAUGUACUACAUAGAUUCAUUUCUUAGCAAGCAGUUUUUUUGGCAGCUUAUCCAAAGGAGUAGUUUUUAGAAGAAAAAGCCGGGCAGCACGCUCUGAAAAAGUGCCCCCACACUUGAGCCCACGUGCUUGUAGUUCAUUCUUCAGCCUUUCCAUGCCGAGAACCUCCAUCUCUGCUGCUGAAUUGAAGUCAUCAAAAUUCAGUGGCUUCUCCAAAUCAGUGUCCCUAACAUUUACUGCAACAGUUUCUCCAUUAGAUGCAGAUUUGAAGUCAGAGACGGCUUCAACAGUAACUGGCCUGCUUUCAAUACCAUCCCCACUUGCUGGAGUUGUAACAUAGGGCUGAGAGUCAGAUUCAACAUUAUCCAGCUUUUUAUCCUUAACUGCAUCAAUUCCAGAACUCUCAGCAGUCCCCAAGCAAGUUACACCACAACUCUGUAGUACUGCUUCCUCAUGAAUCUCUGGUUCAGCCAAUCCAUCGUUUUCACUGGGAACAUUUUCUUCUUGAGGGAUAGAUUUCAAAUUUUGCUCCACAGUAGCAUCUUUUUCUCCCUCAGAACCACUCUCACAUAAGACACCACCAGAGAAUUCUCCAUCUUGCUUACCACCAGUAACUGACUCUGAACCCCCUUCAGCUUCGUUAUUCCAAUUUGAAUGAUUUUCAUUAUUUAGAACAAUAGAUUUCUCAUUUUCCUCAUCACUGCUAUCCUCAUCCGUAUCUUCACUGUCACUUUCACCCAAUUUUCUCUUCCCCAUCCAAAUCUUCAACCUAUUGGCCUCCAAUCCCUCAUUUGGCAUCUUCCGCUUCCGCUUUCCGUUCCCAUUCCCACACGCCUCUCUAACGGCCUCCUCAACCGCCGCUGCACACUUGGCGGAUUCUUUCCUAUACUUCUCCACAUACUUUUCUGCCUCUCCCUCCCCAGCCCCCUUCUUCCCUUUCUUCGCCUUCUUUUUAAUAAAUUCCUCCGCAAUCUCCUCUAAUCUCCUUUCCUCCUCCUCUGCUUUCCAAUCCUCCAACCUCUUCUCAGCGUUCACGUGGCGCAGCCUCCGCCCACUCAUGUCACGACAUGCGUCGAAGUUGUUGGUCUUCUUUUGACCAGCUUUGGUGGCGGCUCCUCGCAGAAGAGAGCCAAAUCCACCCUUGCCGCCAAGGAGGCGAAGCAAGAGGUGGACAGUGCAUUCGGGACUGGAGAUUGCGGAACUCUCACUGAGUUGUGUCCCGCUGUAUAUAAGGCGCUGACAGUGAGUGGGGAUUUUGGUGAUCUCGAAGACCCGUCGCUUAAUGGCGAGCCCAUCAACUUGCGAAGCCGUGAAUCUAAGGGUUGCUGUUUUGCCAUCUAGAAGCUUGACGAAUAUCUGGAAGAACUUACUGCUAUCCUGCAUUGUCGUCUUUGGAGAAUCUACCCUUUCUCCCUGCAAAAUUGACGAGCAACCAG
Molecule: unclassified non-coding RNA, 1717 nt
Filed under: Hevea brasiliensis (rubber tree)
Lineage: Eukaryota; Viridiplantae; Streptophyta; Magnoliopsida; Malpighiales; Euphorbiaceae
Source: RNAcentral